RNAcentral lists this transfer RNA (83 nucleotides) under Psilocybe cubensis. RNAcentral's name for it is "tRNA-Tyr". It matches the Rfam family "tRNA". From Rfam's summary of the family: Transfer RNA (tRNA) molecules are approximately 80 nucleotides in length. Their secondary structure includes four short double-helical elements and three loops (D, anti-codon, and T loops). Lineage: Eukaryota; Fungi; Basidiomycota; Agaricomycetes; Agaricales; Agrocybaceae. The record is from RNAcentral.
GGGCAGGUGAUCCGAUUGGUAAUGGUGGUUCUCUGUAAAAGAAUUGGUUAAUCCCAUAAAAGGUUCGAUUCCUUUACUGCUCA